AUGGUCCUGUCGGUGGUGUUCGACAAGAGGACAAACAAUGUGGAUUGCUCCAUGGCGGCCCGCAGCGACCUGUGGCGCGCCGAGGCGUCGCACUCCAGCAGCGGCAGCGGCGCGGCGCCGCUGUUCCUAGUGCAUCUCGGGCCCGUGCUCUUCCUCCGCGACACAACGCUGCUCUUCCCCAUGCACCUCUCCAAGCGCCACCUCAUCUGGUACGGCUUCGAGCGCAAGAAUGGAGUGCACUCGGUGUGCCCGACGUACUGGACAGCUCGCCGAAGAUGCUUCUUCAUGUCGAUGAUCUGCCUCAACCCCUUUGCCUGCACAUUCCUGGACAUGCAAUUCCCCAACGGACAGCUCAGAUACGUGGCCGGCGACGGGUUCGCGGCGAGGGGUUUCCUCCCUCUCGGCGGUGGCAGCAUCAUCCAGGCCCACGAAAAGUUCCCCGGGGAGAAGCGACUCAGCUUUUCCUACAAGAACGGGAGCGGGUGCAGCGUCGCCCCGACCGUCCAGUGGCCGGACAGGUCCCUGUCGCUGGGGCUAGCCCAGGUGCUCUCCUGGAGGCGGUGCGGCCUCAUGCUGCAGCUGGCAAUGCAACUCAGCAUUUGCCCCACGUUCGGCGGGAGCCGGCCCGGGGUGUCGACGAAGCUGGUCCAUUCGGUCAGCGAGGAGGCCGCGUGCGGCUACUCCCGCACCGCCUCCCCCUCCGUUUACGCUUCCGUGUUGCUUGGGAGAUCGAAGCUGAAUGGCGGCGCGACGAGCUCGAGGCUGGUGUUGAGAGUGGACGCACCGCUGCACGGUUUUGGGCGGCCAUGGUUCUCCAUCCAGAUGAACAAUGGGCUCGAGUUCUGA
Molecule: ribosomal RNA, 846 nt
Filed under: Triticum aestivum (bread wheat)
Lineage: Eukaryota; Viridiplantae; Streptophyta; Magnoliopsida; Poales; Poaceae
Description: partial small subunit ribosomal RNA
Source: RNAcentral